This is a long non-coding RNA of Myotis lucifugus (little brown bat), 498 nucleotides long. RefSeq lists it as uncharacterized. Lineage: Eukaryota; Metazoa; Chordata; Mammalia; Chiroptera; Vespertilionidae. The record is from RefSeq and is a predicted model, not a curated record. The transcript is spliced from 3 exons.
GAAUUCGCUCCGCGCAAGGAGGGCCGCGGAAAAACCCAGGGUUGGGGGUCUUGGCUGGGGGUGCUCGGCAGGAAACCAGUUUCACCCUUUUUAUCACUUGUACUGGCGGAAGCUAGAGCUACCAUGUCAUGAAGACUCGGGCUUCCUGCCAACAGCCAUGUGAGUGAGCACUGUUGGGAGCAGAUCUCCCUAGUUCAGCCUUCAGAUGACUGCAGUCUGGAUGAUGUUGACUGAAACCUCACCCUGAGCAAAUCCUGAGCAGAACUACCCAGACUUAUUUCAAAGAACAUUGUAACAUUGAUGAAUUAAGCCGGACAGAGAAGCAACUGCAAACAAAGUGACUCUUUUUGUGGGCCUAACAACUUGUGGCUUUAAACAAUGAAGGCCAUUGUGUCAGAAUUCCCUCCCGGGGUUAUUGUGAGGAUUAAUUUCAUUAAAAUCUGCAGUGUUUUGAGUUUUUCUCAGAAUUCUUUCAUAAAUAAAGAUGGCAAUAAUUUU